UACAGACUGUUAGUCAGAACAGCCGGCAUUGUAGUCUACCCUCCCAGGAUCAGGAAACAGUUCUCCAUGAAAUGCGCUGUACACAUCUGAACAGUUGGGUUGAAUUGUUGA
This is a long non-coding RNA of Sinocyclocheilus rhinocerous, 111 nucleotides long. RefSeq lists it as uncharacterized. The transcript is spliced from 3 exons. The record is from RefSeq and is a predicted model, not a curated record. Lineage: Eukaryota; Metazoa; Chordata; Actinopteri; Cypriniformes; Cyprinidae.